AUGCACACAAAUAAAUGUAUGAAGGCUAUGAUCAUAAACCAGUGCCUAUAUUUUAUUCACAGGCUUUGCACUGAGAUGCAUGCUCAUACACAGACUUUGGGACGAGACGUACCUCCUGCCACCCCCAGGGAAAACAUGAAUGUAUUUAUACACAGGCAAAGAAGAAGGCGGCUAUGCACUGACACAGCAGUGACAAAGUCUCCAGGCUGCAAGUGUUAUGCAAAAGAAGAUACUCGACACCUUCCGCCAGCGCUCCCAAAUGCAUUUCCUCAGCUAAGGAAGUCAAUGAAGAGGCAGCUAAUUGAGCUGGCGAGUACAGCAAACGCCGUCCCACCAGGAUGGAAUGCAGAUAUUGGACUGAUAGCACAGUGCCAGAGUGACACCUGCAGGAGGAGCCACGAAGCACCUCGCAGAGAGGUCCCUGAGUUUUCCGGAGUUACUUGCACCGAACACCUGUCUCGUUCUGCACUGCUCUAUUCAGAGAAAAACAGGGGGAAAAUGAUUUGGAAGCAGAAUCCAACAAAAGAUAUCCACAGAUUCUUCUGGCAAAAUUGUAAUUUUCGAAUCACAUGAUCGUUUGAAUUGGAAGGGGCCCUUAAAGGACACCUACCCCAAUUCUCCUGCAAUGAACGGGAUACUCACAGCUAGGUGGGGUGCUCAGAGCCCUUCUAGCCUGACCCUGAAUGUCUUCAGGGAUGGAGCUUCCAUCAUCUCUCUGGGCAACCUGUGCCAGUGCCUCAUCACUCUCGCUGUAAAAAAUAUCUUCCUUACAUCCAAUCUAAACCUCCUCUUUUAGCUUGAAACUAUUUUCCCUUGUCGUGUCACAACAGACCCUCCUUAAAGAGUCUGUCCUCUUCUUUCCUUGUGACCACCUUAGAUACUGACAGGCCACACACAGGUCACCCCAGAGCCUUCUCUUCUCCAGGUGGGACAGCCCCAGCAGCUCAGAAAGGAGUAAAACAUGAAAAGAUGCUACUGGUGCUACAGAGCUAAUGCUAGUUAAUUAAUUCAAAUAGAGUUGCUUGCUUUACCUGUAUUUUCCUGAAACUAGAAGCUAAACUCAGGCUAAGGGUUUAUUUUAUCCACCUUAAUUGGACAUUAUCUGGUUAUACAGAAGAUCAUAAAAGAAUUGAACUCAGCAGGGAGCUGUUUGGGCUAACGAGAAACAGCUUACAUCAUUUGUGACUUCCUCAGUUUUCUCUUUAGAAGCUCACACAGGUGAUCUGAUUUUCAGCAGAGAAGCACGGAACUUCUCAUGCACGUUUAUUGUUACUCCCAAUUAAGCUUAUCUGCCAUAGAAGUAGGGCUACAGCAUAGGAAUUAGGGCAAGCUAGGUAUUUACCCAAAAAGGUCAAUCUAGGUCAAAGCUAUCUUGCCCAGAUGGCUAAUUUCAAUCUCUUACGCAUAUAACACAAUUGUUCAAUAAGCUCAAAAUAAAUAGUCUAAGUAAUUAAUUUAAAGCUGCCCU
Molecule: long non-coding RNA, 1468 nt
Filed under: Phasianus colchicus (ring-necked pheasant)
Lineage: Eukaryota; Metazoa; Chordata; Aves; Galliformes; Phasianidae
Description: lncRNA (ENSPCLG00000009222.1)
Source: RNAcentral